AACGCUGGCGGCGUGCCUAAUACAUGCAAGUCGAACGGUCUUUUCUAUGGAAGCUUGCUUCCACUGAGAAGAUAGUGGCGAACGGGUGAGUAACACGUGGGUAACCUGCCCAUAAGAGGGGGGAUAACAUCCGGAAACGGGUGCUAAUACCGCAUAGUUUUCUUGAUCGCAUGAUCGGGAAAGGAAAGACGGCCUUUGUGCUGUCGCUUAUGGAUGGACCCGCGGCGUAUUAGUUAGUUGGUGAGGUAACGGCUCACCAAGACGAUGAUACGUAGCCGACCUGAGAGGGUGAUCGGCCACAUUGGGACUGAGACACGGCCCAAACUCCUACGGGAGGCAGCAGUAGGGAAUCUUCCGCAAUGGACGAAAGUCUGACGGAGCAACGCCGCGUGAGUGAAGAAAGGUUUUCGGAUCGUAAAACUCUGUUGUCAGAGAAGAACAAGUUGGAGAGUAACUGCUCCAGCCUUGACGGUAUCUGACCAGAAAGCCACGGCUAACUACGUGCCAGCAGCGGC
RNAcentral lists this ribosomal RNA (515 nucleotides) under uncultured bacterium. RNAcentral describes it as "bacterial SSU rRNA". It matches the Rfam family "Bacterial small subunit ribosomal RNA", at positions 32 to 518 of the family's 1533-position model. The record is from RNAcentral.